AGCUGUCCGGACAUAAGGCAGCAG
RNAcentral lists this non-coding RNA (24 nucleotides) under Arabidopsis thaliana (thale cress). The record is from RNAcentral. Lineage: Eukaryota; Viridiplantae; Streptophyta; Magnoliopsida; Brassicales; Brassicaceae.